Ipomoea triloba (trilobed morning glory) is the source of this 588-nucleotide long non-coding RNA. RefSeq lists it as uncharacterized. NCBI's taxonomy places the organism in Eukaryota, Viridiplantae, Streptophyta, Magnoliopsida, Solanales, Convolvulaceae. The transcript has 2 exons. The record is from RefSeq and is a predicted model, not a curated record.
UUCAGACUCCCACUCUCGUCUCUCACUCUCCCCGCUCCAAAUUUCACGAUUUUCACUUUUCACCGUAGUCCAGUGUCCAUCGCCACCGCCCACCGCAGGCCGGCGCUCACCGGAGACCGCAGUCCGCCGCCCACCGCAGUCUGCAGGCCAGCCACUCACUACAGUCCGCAGGCCAACCACUCACCACAGUCCGCCGCCUACCGCUUCUGUUCAUCACCCGUCGGCCGUCGCUCACCGCCUGACCCUCACCGUCGACGCCCACCGCCUACCACUCACGUUGUCAAAGUAUCAAUUCCAGAUUUCCACUCUACAGGCUGUGACUUCCACUCUUCCAGGCCCAAGCAAGCAGUAGUGCAGUCUCGGCAGUGGAUAAGCUCACAGAUUCACAGUUCUAUUUAAUUUUUUUUAAAAUAAUUUUUCUUGAGUUUUUUUUUUCUUAAUAAUUUAGCCGGCUAAAUUGCCUGUGUGUACCGGAGUCUUGCUUGUAGUUUUGAAUACUUUAAAUUGUGAAUGUGUAUUGACUGAAUAUUCUGUAACAUGUGAGACUCUAAGUUGAAUUAUUGGAUUACAAUGUAUUUAAUUCAUUUA